This 66-nucleotide transfer RNA is filed under the name Pheidole obscurithorax. Its description in RNAcentral is "tRNA-His". Lineage: Eukaryota; Metazoa; Arthropoda; Insecta; Hymenoptera; Formicidae. The record is from RNAcentral.
AUUUAAGUAGUUUAAUUAAAAUAUUAAUUUGUGAGGUUAAAGAUAUAAAUUAUAUUAUCUUAAAUU